UAGGGAAUCUUCGGCAAUGGACGAAAGUCUGACCGAGCAACGCCGCGUGAGUGAAGAAGGCCUUCGGAUCGUAAAACUCUGUUGUUAGAGAAGAACAAGGACGUUAGUAACUGAACGUCCCCUGACGGUAUCUAACCAGAAAGCCACGGCUAACUACGUGCCAGCAGCCGCGGUAAUACGUAGGUGGCAAGCGUUGUCCGGAUUUAUUGGGCGUAAAGCGAGCGCAGGCGGUUUCUUAAGUCUGAUGUGAAAGCCCCCGGCUCAACCGGGGAGGGUCAUUGGAAACUGGGAGACUUGAGUGCAGAAGAGGAGAGUGGAAUUCCAUGUGUAGCGGUGAAAUGCGUAGAUAUAUGGAGGAACACCAGUGGCGAAGGCGGCUCUCUGGUCUGUAACUGACGCUGAGGCUCGAAAGCGUGGGGAGCAAACAGG
RNAcentral lists this ribosomal RNA (429 nucleotides) under Gemmatimonadota bacterium. RNAcentral's name for it is "Gemmatimonadetes bacterium partial 16S ribosomal RNA". It matches the Rfam family "Bacterial small subunit ribosomal RNA", at positions 355 to 776 of the family's 1533-position model. The record is from RNAcentral. Lineage: Bacteria; Pseudomonadati; Gemmatimonadota.